This 433-nucleotide ribosomal RNA is filed under the name uncultured bacterium. RNAcentral describes it as "partial 16S ribosomal RNA". It matches the Rfam family "Bacterial small subunit ribosomal RNA", at positions 29 to 507 of the family's 1533-position model. The record is from RNAcentral.
AGCGAACGCUGGCGGCAGGCCUAACACAUGCAAGUCGAACGAACUCUUCGGAGUUAGUGGCGGAAGGGUGAGUAACACGUGGGAACGUGCCUUUUGGUGCGGAAUAACUCAGGGAAACUUGUGCUAAUACCGAAUGUGCCCUUCGGGGGAAAGAUGUAUCGCCAUUAGAGCGGCCCGCGUCUGAUUAGCUAGUUGGUGAGGUAACGGCUCACCCAGGCGACGAUCAGUAGCUGGUCUGAGAGGAUGACCAGCCACACUGGGACUGAGACACGGCCCAGACUCCUACGGGAGGCAGCAGUGGGGAAUCUUGCGCAAGGGGCGAAAGCCUGACGCAGCCAUGCCGCGUGAAUGAUGAAGGUCUUAGGAUUGUAAAAUUCUUUCACCGGGGACGAUAAUGACGGUACCCGGAGAAGAAGCCCCGGCUAACUUCGUG